This 513-nucleotide ribosomal RNA is filed under the name Haptolina ericina. Its description in RNAcentral is "partial Bacterial large subunit ribosomal RNA". It matches the Rfam family "Bacterial large subunit ribosomal RNA", at positions 504 to 1019 of the family's 2925-position model. The record is from RNAcentral. Lineage: Eukaryota; Haptophyta; Prymnesiales; Prymnesiaceae.
UGAGGGAAAGGCGAAAAGAACCCCGGGAGGGGAGUGAAAUAGAUCCUGAAACCGUGUGCAUACAAACAGUCGGAGCCUCUUUAUGGGGUGACGGCGUACCUUUUGUAUAAUGGGUCAUCGACUUGGUCUCACGAGCAAGCUUAAGCCGUUAGGUGUAGGCGCAGCGAAAGCGAGUCUUAAUAGGGCGUCGAGUUCGUGGGAUCAGACCCGAAACCGAGUGAUCUAGGCAUGACCAGGAUGAAGGUAAGGUAACACUUACUGGAGGUCCGAACCCACACCUGUUGAAAAAGGUCGGGAUGAGUUGUGCCUAGGGGUGAAAGGCCAAUCAAACUCGGAGAUAGCUGGUUCUCUGCGAAAUCUAUUUAGGUAGAGCGUCAUCCGAAUACCCUCGGGGGUAGAGCACUGGAUGGGUAAUGGGGCCCCACAGGCUUACUGAUCCUAACCAAACUCCGAAUACCGAGGAGUACUAGAUGGCAGACACACGGCGAAUGCUAACGUCCGUCGUGGAGAGGG